Aedes albopictus (Asian tiger mosquito) is the source of this 1287-nucleotide long non-coding RNA. RefSeq lists it as uncharacterized. The record is from RefSeq and is a predicted model, not a curated record. The transcript has 3 exons. Lineage: Eukaryota; Metazoa; Arthropoda; Insecta; Diptera; Culicidae.
UUGUAUUCAGUGUGUUAACUUUCCUAUCCCCGAUCACACACAAAUGAGAGAUAUAUUAUACCUUACCUGAUAGCAUCUUUUAUACACAUUGCGCCCGAUGAAGUUUGCUGUUGACAGCCUGAAAUAAACUAAAUCAGUUGUAUCCAGAACGUGAACCUCAAUAGUACUUUUAUUGAAAGAAGAUCUUUUUAGCUGACGACGAGGUUAAAAGUGAAAGUUAAGUUUGCGUGCAAAAGUGAAGUGGUUCUGGAGAAGCUGUGCAAGGCGUUCAAUUGGGCAGAUUUCGGCCAAUUCUGGAGGUUUCCUUUGCCGGUCUCAAGUGACGCUACCAGGAGGAUUGAGCGGAAGUGCUUUUGAGCAGCUCAGGCAAGGAAGAUUGUGUUCCCAGGUUGAAAGCUUUCCCUGGUAUAGGCCGUCGACGAGUAAUUCGAGGCAUAAUAAGAAGUGGUUGCUGUUGUUGCGGAAUUGGAAGUUGUUGCUGUUGCUGGGCAGUUGGAAGUUGCUGUGACUGGAGAUCGUUUAGAGGUGGCUGUUGCUGGAUUCGGUGGCUUUUUGGGAUUCGCUCUUGGAUUAGCUAGACUUGCCGGUGGUGACGUUGAGGAAACGGAAUCGGACUGGUGCUACUUGGCGAGAUCAUUGCUGGUGUGCGAACAGAUUGCCAUCGGAGCACAUCUUCUCACGGCCCACAGGGGGCAGAUAAAGCUCAUCAAGAAGACUGAAAGGAGACGAAAUGUCACGUUCCAGGUCGGUGACAGUAUCACGAAUAGACGGGGAGAGAAAAGGCGAUAUACUGCGUCGGAUGAUGAAGAACCAUUCGAUGGUUUCGAGUUGUCGAAUGAACCCCCACCAGCUAGGAGUGAACUCCAUCCAGAGGCAUUGCAAGAGAUCGUGGAAACCAAAAACGCAUCGAAUUACCAACCAGUUGGAGCUCGAAAAUCGACUAGGAAGAAGAAGAGGGCAGAGCAUGAAGAUUUCCUGUACUAUUAAGCUACAUCAGUGUGAAUUUCAAGUGCCAUCGAAUAUUACGAUUGAUUAAGCGAAUUCAAGUAAAAAUACAUUUGUAAGGACAAGUUGAAUUCUUUGUAAGUUCUAGUUAAGUGAUGAUUACUAACUAAAAAGGGAAGGAAUUGUAUUGUAUUCAGUGUGUUAACUUUCCUAUCCCCGAUCACACACAAAUGAGAGAUAUAUUAUACCUUACCUGAUAGCAUCUUUUAUACACAUUGCGCCCGAUGAAGUUUGCUGUUGACAGCCUGAAAUAAACUAAAUCAGUUGUAUCCAGAACGUGAA